CAUUUCUGGCGAAUUUCCGAUUUCUUCUCCUGGUAUCGGAGGCAGUUCGCGCAAUUGGACGGGAGCAAUGUCGUCGACAUUCUCGUAUAUCUCCACUUCUUCACCAGUCUGAGAUUCUAAGCAUUUUUUCUCUCUGGAUUGACGUUUUUGGGCAAAGUCCACUUUAGCAUAAAGGUCCGAGACCACUGGGACAACGGUUGGAAAUUGAUCGUUUCCAAAUGUGCUACACUGUCGUGGUCUCACUUCCUCAUAAAUAUCUUCUUUUGAUAAAUCUGAAAGGGGGCAGAUUCUCUUGUCUCCAUUUUUCUGCCAGUCAGUAUUACCAUAUAUGUCCGAAUAAAAGGGAUCUCUCUGGUAAUAGCUGUCAUCAGCUUUAUAAUUUUCAACCACAACGGGCAGGUUCGACACAGUUUUCGAGAACUGACCCAAAUGCAGAACACCUUUCCUAUAUAAUAAUAGUAAAAUGAUACAAAAUUAAUGAUUAUUGUUCAUUUUGAUAAAUAACUAUAAUGAUUUCCAUAUUAUAGUAUUGAGUAAAGUGAAAAUCGUACCUUCUUAAUACGUAAACUAUCACCAAACACAGAAUGAGGAACACCACAACCACCACAAUGCCAAUCACAAAUCCAGCUGAAAAUACCAAUAAAUCAUUUUUAGGUAAAUUUUAUAUAGAAUUAAAAAAUUAGUUUUUAAAUUCUUGAUAAAUGUUUACAGAAAUUAACCCUUAUUGUGCCAAUUUAGUAAUAGUUAACUUUAUUCAGUGACAAAAUAUAUUUCAUUUUUAUGAUGAUUUUUUUUAAUGGAG
This 802-nucleotide long non-coding RNA is filed under the name Androctonus crassicauda. The record is from RNAcentral. Lineage: Eukaryota; Metazoa; Arthropoda; Arachnida; Scorpiones; Buthidae.